This 420-nucleotide ribosomal RNA is filed under the name uncultured bacterium. RNAcentral describes it as "partial 16S ribosomal RNA". It matches the Rfam family "Bacterial small subunit ribosomal RNA", at positions 361 to 773 of the family's 1533-position model. The record is from RNAcentral.
AUAUUGGACAAUGGGCGAAAGCCUGAUCCAGCCAUGCCGCGUGUGUGAAGAAGGUCUUCGGAUUGUCAAGCACUUUAACUUGGGCGAAAGUGUUGUCCCUUAAUACUCUGCAAUUUUUACGUUACCAACAGAUUAUGCCCCGUCUAACUUCGUGCCAUCAGCCGCGGUAAUACGAAGGCUCCAAGAGUUAAUCGGAAUUACUGGGCGUAAAGCGCGCGUAGGUGGUUUGUCAAGUUGGAAGUGAAAGCCCCGGGCUCAACCUGGGAACUGCUUUCAAAACUGGCAAGCUAGAGUAUGGCAGAGGGUGGUGGAAUUUCCUGUGUAGCGGUGAAAUGCGUAGAUAUAGGAAGGAACAUCAGUGGCGAAGGCGACCACCUGGGCUAAUACUGACACUGAGGUGCGAAAGCGUGGGGAGCAAAC